GGAAGAGCUGUAGCUUAGUGGUAGGGCAUCUGCUUUGCAUGCAGAAGGCCCCAGGUUCAAUCCCCAUAUCUCCA
Molecule: non-coding RNA, 74 nt
Organism: Podarcis lilfordi (Lilford's wall lizard)
Lineage: Eukaryota; Metazoa; Chordata; Lepidosauria; Squamata; Lacertidae
Source: the annotation of a GenBank genome assembly